Molecule: ribosomal RNA, 483 nt
Filed under: uncultured bacterium
Lineage: Bacteria
Description: bacterial SSU rRNA
Rfam family: Bacterial small subunit ribosomal RNA
Source: RNAcentral
GAUGAACGCUAGCGGCAGGCUUAAUACAUGCAAGUCGAGGGGCAUCAAGGUACACGAAAGUGUAUUGUUGGCGACCGGCGGACGGGUGAGUAAUAGGUAGGUAACCUACCUCAUACUGAGGCAUAGCUGGGAGAAAUUCCAGGUAAUUCCUCAUGAGGUUAUAUGACACAUGUGAUAUAAUCAAAGGUAUCGCAAGGUACUGGUAUGAGAUGGGCUUACUGACCAUUAGCUAGUUGGUGAGAUAAGAGCUCACCAAGGCGAAGAUGGUUAGGGGUUUUGAGAGAGAGAUCCCCCACAUUGGAACUGAGAUACGGUCCAGACUCCUACGGGAGGCAGCAGUAGGGAAUAUUGGGCAAUGGGCGAAGCCUGACCCAGCCAUGCCGCGUGAAGGAAGACGGCCUUAUGGGUUGUAAACUUCUUUACUAUGCGACUAACUAGAUUUACGAGAUAAUUCUAUAGAAUGUAGCAUAGCAAAAGCACCGG